RNAcentral lists this ribosomal RNA (497 nucleotides) under uncultured bacterium. Its description in RNAcentral is "partial 16S ribosomal RNA". It matches the Rfam family "Bacterial small subunit ribosomal RNA", at positions 28 to 507 of the family's 1533-position model. The record is from RNAcentral.
GAUGAACGCUGGCGGCGUGCCUAAUACAUGCAAGUCGAGCGAACAGACGAGGAGCUUGCGCGUCUGACGUUAGGGGCGGACGGGUGAGUAACACGUGGAUAACCUACCUAUAAGACUGUUAUAACCUCGGGAAUCCGGCGCUAAUACGGGAGAAUAUAUUGAACCGCAUGGUUCGCUAGUUAAAGACGGUUGUUCUGGCACUUAUAGCUGGAUCCGCGCCGCAUUAGCUAGUUGUUCGGGUAAAGGGUUACCAAGGCAAGGAUGCGUAGCCCACGUGCGAGACGGAUCGGCCACCGUAGAACUGAGACAGCGUCAAUACGCCUGCGAGAGGCACCAGUAGGGAAUCGUACGCAAUAGGCGAAAGCUUGACGGAGUAACGCCGCGCGAGUGAUGACAGUCUUACGAUCGUAAAAAUCUGCUGCGAGUUAAAAACAGAUAUGGACGGUGCUAAGGACGUCUUGACGGUAACUAGUAAGAAAGCCACGGCUAACUACGUG